This 274-nucleotide ribosomal RNA is filed under the name uncultured Ralstonia sp. Its description in RNAcentral is "partial 16S ribosomal RNA". It matches the Rfam family "Bacterial small subunit ribosomal RNA", at positions 524 to 796 of the family's 1533-position model. Lineage: Bacteria; Pseudomonadati; Pseudomonadota; Betaproteobacteria; Burkholderiales; Burkholderiaceae. The record is from RNAcentral.
UACGUAGGGUCCAAGCGUUAAUCGGAAUUACUGGGCGUAAAGCGUGCGCAGGCGGUUGUGCAAGACCGAUGUGAAAUCCCCGAGCUUAACUUGGGAAUUGCAUUGGUGACUGCACAGCUAGAGUGUGUCAGGGGGGGGGUAGAAUUCCACGUGUAGCAGUGAAAUGCGUAGAGAUGUGGAGGAAUACCGAUGGCGAAGGCAGCCCCCUGGGAUAACACUGACGCUCAUGCACGAAAGCGUGGGGAGCAAACAGGAUUAGAAACCCGCGUAGUCC